This is a long non-coding RNA of Homo sapiens (human), 1311 nucleotides long. Ensembl annotates it as Fc gamma receptor Ib, pseudogene. Its record names the gene FCGR1BP. The record is from Ensembl. NCBI's taxonomy places the organism in Eukaryota, Metazoa, Chordata, Mammalia, Primates, Hominidae.
AAUAUCUUGCAUGUUACAGAUUUCACUACUCCCACCAGCUUGGAGACAACAUGUGGUUCUUGACAACUCUGCUCCUUUGGGUUCCAGUUGAUGGGCAAGUGGACACCACAAAGGCAGUGAUCACUUUGCAGCCUCCAUGGGUCAGCGUGUUCCAAGAGGAAACCAUAACCUUGCACUGUGAGGUGCUCCAUCUGCCUGGGAGCAGCUCCACACAGUGGUUUCUCAAUGGCACAGCCACUCAGACCUCGACCCCCAGCUACAGAAUCACCUCUGCCAGUGUCAAUGACAGUGGUGAAUACAGGUGCCAGAGAGGUCUCUCAGGGCGAAGUGACCCCAUACAGCUGGAAAUCCACAGAGGCUGGCUACUACUGCAGGUCUCCAGCAGAGUCUUCAUGGAAGGAGAACCUCUGGCCUUGAGGUGUCAUGCGUGGAAGGAUAAGCUGGUGUACAAUGUGCUUUACUAUCGAAAUGGCAAAGCCUUUAAGUUUUUCCACUGGAAUUCUAACCUCACCAUUCUGAAAACCAACAUAAGUCACAAUGGCACCUACCAUUGCUCAGGCAUGGGAAAGCAUCGCUACACAUCAGCAGGAAUAUCACAAUACACUGUGAAAGAGCUAUUUCCAGCUCCAGUGCUGAAUGCAUCUGUGACAUCCCCACUCCUGGAGGGGAAUCUGGUCACCCUGAGCUGUGAAACAAAGUUGCUCUUGCAGAGGCCUGAAGAGAAGACUCUGGGUUAUACUGGUGCGAGGCUGCCACAGAGGAUGGAAAUGUCCUUAAGCACAGCCCUGAGUUGGAGCUUCAAGUGCUUGGUGAGAAUGACGGGAAGCCACUGGCACAGAAGAAGGGACUCCCUUAUCUCCCAUGGGACUGAGGCCUCCAGUUACCAACUCCUGUCUGGUUUCAUGUCCUUUUCUAUCUGGCAGUGGGAAUAAUGUUUUUAGUGAACACUGUUCUCUGGGUGACAAUACGUAAAGAACUGAAAAGAAAGAAAAAGUGGAAUUUAGAAAUCUCUUUGGAUUCUGGUCAUGAGAAGAAGGUAAUUUCCAGCCUUCAAGAAGACAGACAUUUAGAAGAAGAGCUGAAAUGUCAGGAACAAAAAGAAGAACAGCUGCAGGAAGGGGUGCACCGGAAGGAGCCCCAGGGGGCCACGUAGCAGCGGCUCAGUUGGUGGCCAUCGAUCUGGACCGUCCCCUGCCCACUUGCUCCCCGUGAGCACUGCGUACAAACAUCCAAAAGUUCAACAACACCAGAACUGUGUGUCUCAUGGUAUAUAACUCUUAAAGCAAAUAAAUGAACUGACUUCAACUGGGA